GAUGAACGCUGGCGGCGUGCCUAAUACAUGCAAGUCGAGCGAACGGACGAGAAGCUUGCUUCUCUGAUGUUAGCGGCGGACGGGUGAGUAACACGUGGAUAACCUACCUAUAAGACUGGGAUAACUUCGGGAAACCGGAGCUAAUACCGGAUAAUAUUUUGAACCGCAUGGUUCAAAAGUAAAAGACGGUCUUGCUGUCACUUAUAGAUGGAUCCGCGCUGCAUUAGCUAGUUGGUAAGGUAACGGCUUACCAAGGCAACGAUGCAUAGCCGACCUGAGAGGGUGAUCGGCCACACUGGAACUGAGACACAGUCCAGACUCCUACGGGAGGCAGCAGUAGGGAAUCUUCCGCAAUGGGCGAACGCCUGACGGAGCAACGCCGCGUGAGUGAUGAAGGUCUUCGGAUCGUAAAACUCUGUUAUUAGGGAAGAACAUAUGUGUAAGUAACUGUGCACAUCUUGACGGUACCUAAUCAGAAAGCCACGGCUAACUACGUG
RNAcentral lists this ribosomal RNA (497 nucleotides) under uncultured bacterium. RNAcentral's name for it is "partial 16S ribosomal RNA". It matches the Rfam family "Bacterial small subunit ribosomal RNA", at positions 28 to 507 of the family's 1533-position model. The record is from RNAcentral.